RNAcentral lists this transfer RNA (89 nucleotides) under Eubacteriales Family XIII. Incertae Sedis bacterium. RNAcentral's name for it is "tRNA-Leu". It matches the Rfam family "tRNA". Rfam says of the family: Transfer RNA (tRNA) molecules are approximately 80 nucleotides in length. Their secondary structure includes four short double-helical elements and three loops (D, anti-codon, and T loops). The record is from RNAcentral. Lineage: Bacteria; Bacillati; Bacillota; Clostridia; Peptostreptococcales; Anaerovoracaceae.
GCCGGAGUGGCGGAACUGGCAGACGCACUGGACUUAAAAUCCAGCGAUUCGAAAGACUCGUACCGGUUCGAUCCCGGUCUCCGGCACCA